This 440-nucleotide ribosomal RNA is filed under the name uncultured bacterium. RNAcentral describes it as "bacterial SSU rRNA". It matches the Rfam family "Bacterial small subunit ribosomal RNA", at positions 338 to 770 of the family's 1533-position model. The record is from RNAcentral.
CCUACGGGAGGCAGCAGUGGGGAAUAUUGGGCAAUGGGCGAAAGCCUGACCCAGCCACGCCGCGUGAGUGAUGAAGGCCUUCGGGUCGUAAAGCUCUGUGGGGAGGGACGAAAAAGACGGGAGCUAAUAUCCCCGGACUUGACGGUACCUCCUUAGCAAGCACCGGCUAACCCUGUGCCAGCAGCCGCGGUAAUACAGGGGGUGCAAACGUUGCUCGGAAUUAUUGGGCGUAAAGCGCGCGUAGGCGGUAGCGCAAGUCGGAUGUGAAAUCCCUCGGCUUAACUGAGGAAGUGCAUCCGAAACUGCGUCACUAGAGUACCAAAGAGGAUCGCGGAAUUCCCGGUGUAGAGGUGAAAUUCGUAGAUAUCGGGAGGAACACCAGCGGCGAAGGCGGCGAUCUGGGUGGAAACUGACGCUGAGGCGCGAAAGUGUGGGGAGCA